Long non-coding RNA from Cryptomeria japonica (Japanese cedar), 655 nucleotides. RefSeq lists it as uncharacterized. Lineage: Eukaryota; Viridiplantae; Streptophyta; Pinopsida; Cupressales; Cupressaceae. The transcript has 2 exons. The record is from RefSeq and is a predicted model, not a curated record.
GUAAUUCAUAGAUAUUUAUAAUAGAAAUGAUUAAUGAUUGAAUUGCAUUAAUUCAGUUUGUAUUUGAAGUUUGAAUAUUUUUUGUAUGAAGAUGAAAAACGCAGAGAAAAUUCUUCUGAUUGUGAUGUGUAUCACACUUGUUUCCAUCAAAGGUAAACCAUUAAACGGUGUGAAUACUGAUAAUAUCAUACCAGGGAAAUCACUACAAUUCCUCAACACAGGAGGGGCUUUUGCUGCUAAAGCUGCACCACCUCACCCAAAAAUUACUGGGCUGGUCUUUCCUGUGCCAUGUUCAGUCACUAGAUUCAUUCCACUGCCUUGCACAAAAUCCACUGAUCACAAUCCUCAGAUAACUGAAUUCUGUACCUGCAAGGUGCAAAAAUAGCACAAUUUGCUUCCAUAAUGAUUAUAGCUAUAUGCUACAGCCAUAUAUUCUAUUGAUGGCGAUGUUAGAAAUCAUAUCAUACUUUCAUAAUGAUUAUAGCUAUAUGCUACAGCUAUAUAUUCUAUUGAUGGCGAUGUUAUAAAUCAUAUCGUACUGAAAUAAAUGAAUCUGCUCCUCUAGCAUGAAACUCUUGUUUCUUUGCCAUGAUUAAUUUUUUGCAGUUUGCAAAGUGUUUUCCAGUUAUUUAAUAUGGAUUAUAUGAUUUCAUCA